This 495-nucleotide ribosomal RNA is filed under the name uncultured Gram-positive bacterium. Its description in RNAcentral is "bacterial SSU rRNA". It matches the Rfam family "Bacterial small subunit ribosomal RNA", at positions 368 to 873 of the family's 1533-position model. The record is from RNAcentral.
ACAAUGGGCGCAAGCCUGAUGCAGCAACGCCGCGUGAGGGAUGACGGCCUUCGGGUUGUAAACCUCUUUUAGCAGGGAAGAAGCGAAAGCGACGGUACCUGCAGAAAAAGCGCCGGCUAACUACGUGCCAGCAGCCCCGGUAACACGUAGGGCGCAAGCGUUAUCCGGAAUUAUUGGGCGUAAAGAGCUCGUAGGCGGUUUGUCGCGUCUGCUGUGAAAUCCCGAGGCUCAACCUCGGGCCUGCAGUGGGUACGGGCAGACUAGAGUGCGGUAGGGGAGAUUGGAAUUCCUGGUGUAGCGGUGGAAUGCGCAGAUAUCAGGAGGAACACCGAUGGCGAAGGCAGAUCUCUGGGCCGUAACUGACGCUGAGGAGCGAAAGGGUGGGGGGCAGACAGGCUUAGAUACCCUGGUAGUCCACCCCGUAAACGUUGGGAACUAGUUGUGGGGUCCAUUCCACGGAUUCCGUGACGCAGCUAACGCAUUAAGUUCCCCGCC